Molecule: ribosomal RNA, 497 nt
Filed under: uncultured bacterium
Lineage: Bacteria
Description: partial 16S ribosomal RNA
Rfam family: Bacterial small subunit ribosomal RNA
Source: RNAcentral
GAUGAACGCUGGCGGCGUGCCUAAUACAUGCAAGUCGAGCGAACGGACGAGAAGCUUGCUUUUCUGAUGUUAGCGGCGGACGGGUGAGUAACACGUGGAUAACCUACUUAUAAUACUGGGAUAAUUUCGGGAAACCGGAGCUAAUACCGGAUAAUAUUUUGAACCGCAUGGUUCAAAAGUAAAAGACGGUCUUGCCGUCACUUAUAGAUGGAUCCGCGCUGCAUUAGCUAGUUGGUAAGGUAACGGCUUACCAAGGCAACGAUGCAUAGCCGACCUGAGAGGGUGAUCGGCCACACUGGAACUGAGACACGGUCCAGACUCCUACGGGAGGCAGCAGUAGGGAAUCUUCCGCAAUGGGCGAAAGCCUGACGGAGCAACGCCGCGUGAGUGAUGAAGGUCUUCGGAUCGUAAAACUCUGUUAUUAGGGAAGAACAUAUGUGUAAGUAACUGUGCACAUCUUGACGGUACCUAAUCAGAAAGCCACGGCUAACUACGUG